UAGGGAAUUUUGCGCAAUGGGGGCAACCCUGACGCAGCGACGCCGCGUGAGUGAAGAAGGCCUUCGGGUUGUAAAGCUCUGUCAGGAGGGACGAAUAAGCAACGUCGAAUAGACGUAUGUGAUGACGGUACCUUCAGAGGAAGCACCGGCUAACUCUGUGCCAGCAGCCGCGGUAAUACAGAGGGUGCAAGCGUUAUUCGGAAUUACUGGGCGUAAAGCGUGCGCAGGCGGUUCUAUAAGACAGAUGUGAAAUCCCCGGGCUUAACCUGGGAACUGCGUUUGUGACUGUAGGACUUGAGUGUGGCAGAGGGGGGUGGAAUUCCACGUGUAGCAGUGAAAUGCGUAGAGAUGUGGAGGAACACCGAUGGCGAAGGCAGCCCCCUGGGUCAACACUGACGCUCAUGCACGAAAGCGUGGGGAGCAAACAGG
This 429-nucleotide ribosomal RNA is filed under the name uncultured bacterium. RNAcentral describes it as "bacterial SSU rRNA". It matches the Rfam family "Bacterial small subunit ribosomal RNA", at positions 355 to 776 of the family's 1533-position model. The record is from RNAcentral.